GCUCGAUUAGCUCAGUUGGUUUAGAGCUUCGUACUUAUAUUGGAACAGUUUCGUUUUAGAGACGUUCAUAUACUUUAAGAAAUGCGGCGGUCACCAGUUCGAUCCUGGUAUUGAGCA
This is a non-coding RNA of Hanseniaspora valbyensis NRRL Y-1626, 117 nucleotides long. The record is from the annotation of a GenBank genome assembly. Lineage: Eukaryota; Fungi; Ascomycota; Saccharomycetes; Saccharomycodales; Saccharomycodaceae.